This 225-nucleotide ribosomal RNA is filed under the name Peptococcaceae bacterium. RNAcentral describes it as "Bacterial small subunit ribosomal RNA". It matches the Rfam family "Bacterial small subunit ribosomal RNA", at positions 1 to 160 of the family's 1533-position model. The record is from Rfam by way of RNAcentral. Lineage: Bacteria; Bacillati; Bacillota; Clostridia; Eubacteriales; Peptococcaceae.
UUAUCGGAGAGUUUGAUCCUGGCUCAGGACGAACGCUGGCGGCAUGCCUAAUACAUGCAAGUCGAGCGAACUAGAAGUUAGAGAUUAGAGGUUAGAGAUUAGAUUGAGGGUAGACUCCUUCGGUCCAACUUCUAAUUUCCAACCUCUAACUUCUAGUUAGCGGCGGACGGGUGAGUAACGCGUGGGCAACCUGCCUUAAAGACUGGGAUAACAUCCUGAAAGGGG